Molecule: ribosomal RNA, 2160 nt
Filed under: Triticum aestivum (bread wheat)
Lineage: Eukaryota; Viridiplantae; Streptophyta; Magnoliopsida; Poales; Poaceae
Description: partial small subunit ribosomal RNA
Source: RNAcentral
AUGAUGUCUGGCUUUGGUACAAAUUCAGCCAUGGGUUCUUCGUCUCUCCCUUCUAGAGUUGUGUAUAACACAGGUAACGAUUUGCCGGUGGAAUACAUAUAUGACCAGGGUCUUUCUUAUCCAGCUACCAACGGAUAUGCUUACUAUGCAGGAUUUGAGCCACCUGUUGGAUGGAGUGAAAACACUAAUUAUUGGGGGGUAGAUGGUCAAUAUCUCCAACUGACGAACGACAAUCUUCCUUAUGUGUAUUGCACACCUGGCUAUGAAUUUUCUUAUUCUUCACAAGAUCAGUACACUUCCUAUAUGCCUGGCAUGUUCAUGGGAGUUGAUGGCUCAGUUGUAGGAAGUCAACAGUAUUUCACUAAUCCAUAUCAGCCUCCUGGCUCGCCAUCUGGUUACUUCCCAGUAUAUCUCCAGCCCACCACAGAUUUGAGCUCAGCAGUUUCUUUGGAGCCUCCUGUAUUCAGUACUGGCACAUCUGUUGCUAGUAGGCCUGUUAAUACUAGCAUAAAAGAUACACAUCAAAUGUCUGGAAAUACAAUGGCUUCUCGGACUGUCUCUUCUGCAAGUCCAGCUAUUGGUUCCUCCCAUCAUGCUUACCAGAAUCAAAGCACGAAUAAACCUUCUGAUCUGCCAGGUGCUAAUGUGGCGAGGCAUGACAAGCCUUCAACCUCACAUUUGACAGUUCUGGUUGAUACUGACAAGAAUUUUCAGGCUGCUUCAGGUAUGGGGAGCUCUGGGGACAAUGGACAAAUUACAGACAGGACAGAAGUUGUGCCAGUGGCUGCCAUGGUGGGUGAAGGUGCCCAAUCCAAAGCAGUGUCAAGCAGUGCAGUGAAAAACAUUGUGAUACAUCCUGACCAAUAUAAUAAGGCCGACUUCCCUUGUGAUCAUCCAGAUGCCAAGUUUUUUGUCAUUAAAUCUUACAGUGAGGAUGACGUGCAUAAGAGUAUCAAAUAUAAUGUGUGGUCCAGCACACCCAAUGGCAACAGAAGGCUGGAUGCUGCCUACUCAGAAGCAAAAGGGAGUCAACGGAAGUGUCCAAUAUUUCUGUUCUUUUCGGUUAAUACAAGCGGGCAGUUUUGUGGUGUUGCUGAAAUGGUCGGCCCUGUGGAUUUUCACAAAGACAUGGAUUUCUGGCAGCAAGAUAAGUGGUCUGGGAGCUUCCCACUGAAGUGGCAUCUAGUAAAGGAUGUGCCGAAUUCCACCUUUCGACACAUCAUAUUAGAGAACAACGAGAACAAGCCUGUUACCAACAGCCGAGAUACACAAGAGAUGCCUUAUAAGUCGGGAAUAAACAUGCUAAAGCUAUUUAAGAGUAGUCCAAUGACGACAUCGAUUCUUGAUGACUUCCCUUUCUAUGAAGGGAGGCAGAAAGCAAUGCUAGAACAGAAGCGCAGAAGUUUGGGCAGAAGUUUUGGUGGACUUACUUAUGUUCCAGCACUUGUUGCUAAAAGGAGUGUUGUUGUGGAGGGUGAACCUUCUGAAGUAGGUGAAGGCAUUAGCAGCAAAGAUCCACAUCCAGGGAAAACUGGAGAGGAUAGUGGUGCUUGUGAGCAACCUGACAAGACAAGCCAAACGAAAGAUGGAGUGGUUACACAAGUACUGAAAAAGGAUGCAGUGUCACCUGUUGAGCAACCUGAACAUGUAAAAACAGAACGGCAUAGCUUAGAUGAUAUUCAUCAUGAACAGAAUGAGGGCUGUUCCGUUUCUGUGUCACCAGAAAAUGCUGGAAGGGAACAUGCUGGCUUGAGCGAACUGGUAAAAUCUAAUGGAAAAGUUUAUAGUGACCGUGAAUCACAACCUGUUAUAAGCUCAACUGAACCCAAUAGUUCUGGACGAAAAGGUCUUUCUCAGGAGUCUGGUGGUCACGACCCAUCAGAUCGCAUGAAAGGCGGUGCAUCUGGGAUAACGAAGGAUGUCAAGGCUACAUUGCUCAAGAAAACAGAAGGCUUAUCAACUAGCCAUAUGGAUGGGCAAGCAAAAGGCAUUGUUAACGAGGCUCCAACUGGUGUUGUUAAGGUUGGCUCGGUGCACAUCAAACUAAAUGUGGCGGGGGGUUCGUCAUCUGAGAUUAUAGGUGAUGGUUCUCUUGAGCUGAAGGGAGCAGAACAUAUUGAGCAGGGCAUCUCAACAAAACUGAUUGGUUUUUCAGCUUGA